Molecule: long non-coding RNA, 248 nt
Filed under: Jatropha curcas
Lineage: Eukaryota; Viridiplantae; Streptophyta; Magnoliopsida; Malpighiales; Euphorbiaceae
Description: long non-coding RNA (JCUR_LNC003490)
Source: RNAcentral
UGAGAAAUCUUCAAAGGACCUCAUGAGAAAAGCAGGGGUACCAAUUAAACAAUGAAGAGGAUCCAGCUGGCAUCAAUCUGUCCAUGAUCACUGUUGUUGGCCUUGUCGAGUCUGAGCACCACCAUAUCCCCCUACGUAACCAACUUGCCCACCAUGAGGUCCAUUUGCCUGAGGAGUUCCAUAGUUUCCAGAAGCUUGUGAUGGUUCAGAUCUCCAUCCUGCAUUUCCAUAUCCUGAAUUUCCAUUUG